GAUGAACGCUGGCGGCGUGCCUAAUACAUGCAAGUCGAGCGGCAGCACGGUCUUCGGACUGGUGGCGAGCGGCGGACGGCUGAGUAACGCGUAGGAACAUGCCCCAAAGUGAGGAAUAACUGCCCGAAAGGGUGGCUAAUGCCGCAUGUGGUCUUCGGACUAAAGCUUUAUGCGCUUUGGGAGUGGCCUGCGUCCGAUUAGCUUGUUGGUGGGGUAAUGGCUCACCAAGGCGACGAUCGGUAGCUGGUCUGAGAGGAUGAUCGGCCAGACUGGAACUGAGAACGGUCCAGACUCCUACGGGAGGCAGCAGUAGGGAAUUUUCCAAAAUGGGCGAGAGCCUGAUGGAGCAACGCCGCGUGCAGGAUGAAUGCCUUCGGGUUGUAAACUGCUUUUGUACGGAACGAAACGGCCUGCUCUAAUACAGCGGGCUAAUGACGGUACCGUAAGAAUAAGCACCGGC
This 460-nucleotide ribosomal RNA is filed under the name uncultured bacterium. RNAcentral describes it as "partial 16S ribosomal RNA". It matches the Rfam family "Bacterial small subunit ribosomal RNA", at positions 28 to 497 of the family's 1533-position model. The record is from RNAcentral.